GCCAAAUCAAGCCCAAAAAACACACCAACAACCAAAGAAACAACCAAAACAUUUGACACAUGGAAGUAGCUGCGACCGAACCCAGCCCAAGACGCAAUAGAGACAGUACUGCAAAGAAAAAAUGAAAUAAAAUUAUACUUAAAGCAAAAAAAAGCAGGAUUUAACCCCCGUACCUCUUGCAUCACAGUUUAGCAAGAACACGCAAACAAGAUGCCCCCAAGUUUGCCCCCCCGAACGCAAGUGAGCUAUUUUUAAACAGUUUAAAGAACGCACCCAUUUCUGUAGCAAAAGAACGGGAAGAUUUAGAAAUAGAAGUAAAAAGCCAACCGAACUUGCUGAUAGCUGGUUGCCUGAUACACGAACUUUAGUUCAAACCUGGCACUAACCAUAAGCAAAUAUGCACCCUUUCGCCCAGGAACUAGUCAACGAAGGUACAGCUCCGCUGACUAAGGAUACAACCUUUACCAGAGAAAAACCACCCCAUAGAAGAACUGUAGGCCUCAAAACAGCCACCACAGAAUAUCACGUUACAGUAACACAACAAAAAUACAACCCGCUCCCCUCCUCCUGCCUCCAUCCCAGGCCAUUCUAUCCCCAACAUAGAAGAAACAAUGCUAAAAUUAGUAAUUAGAAAUGCUCUCCUCGGACAAAAAUCUUUCAUCAUCAGACAACCCAAUACAUGAAACCUACUCCACAGACCAUAAAACACACUGUAAAACCAACCAAGGAUUGUCCACGGAAGACCCAAAAUCUAAAAAGGAACUCGGCAAACUGCCUCUCCAACUGUUUACCAAAAACAUAGCCUUUAGCCCCACUACAAUUAAAGGUACCGCCUGCCCAAUGAGGAAACCCUUAAACGGCCGCGUGUAUUAACCGUGCAAAGGUAGCAAAAUCAUUCGUCCCAUAAAUGGGGACCCGUAUGAAUGGCAACAUGAGAGAGAAACUGUCUCUUUAGACUGGCCAAUGAACUUGAUCUUCCUGUACAAACGCAGGAAUACAAAAACAAGACAAAAAGACCCUGUGAAACUUCAAACGUCCAUCAACCCAAUGAUCAAGACAUUUUAGGUUGGGGCAACCUAAGAGAAACACAAACCUCACUCCCAAUCGUACGGCAAACAAGCCAACCGACCACACCAACAGACCCAGUAUUACUGAUUAAAGAACCAAGCUACUCCAGGGAUAACAGCGCCACAUUCUUGAAGAGUCCAUAUCAACAAGAAUACCUACGACCUCGAUGUUGGAUUAGGGCAUCCUAAUGGCGCAAAAGCUAUUAAGGGUUCGUUUGUUCAACGAUUAAAGCCCCACAUGAUCUGAGUUCAGACCGGAGCAAUCCAGGUCGGUCUAUAUCUGUUUAAAGCCUCACCCAGUACGAAAGGACCGAUGAAGCAAGGACUACUCAACACAGGCUCCUUAACAUAAACACUGCACACAAAUAAACCACAACAAACCAAUCAACCACAAGAAAAGCGGUUCACACCAAAAGCCUCUGCUAC
Molecule: ribosomal RNA, 1493 nt
Filed under: Acanthosaura armata (armored pricklenape)
Lineage: Eukaryota; Metazoa; Chordata; Lepidosauria; Squamata; Agamidae
Description: 16S rRNA
Rfam family: Bacterial large subunit ribosomal RNA
Source: RNAcentral